ACAUUUAGAGAAGUGUGUGCACGCGUGUAUGGAUAUAUUUUCACACAUACAUAACACACACACCUGAUUCUUCCCUGGCCAUACUCUCCUCCUUCCUGCCUCUACCUCCCUCCUCUUGCAGUUCCCACCAGGUAGUACACGCACAAGAAGGAAAAAAAUGUAAACAGGACGAAAGGACGCACAUGCAAGCAGAUUUUUUUCAGUGGGAUGAAUCUGGGCUGAGAGCAAUGGAAGUUUCCUGUUCUGCCUUCCAAACAGCUUUGUCCUUCUUUGAGUGCCUCUGAAGUUGGACAGUCUCUGGAACAAGGUUAAAAGUAAAGAAAAGAGGAG
RNAcentral lists this long non-coding RNA (330 nucleotides) under Felis catus (domestic cat). Its description in RNAcentral is "lncRNA (ENSFCAG00000050918.1)". The record is from RNAcentral. Lineage: Eukaryota; Metazoa; Chordata; Mammalia; Carnivora; Felidae.